AUUGAACGCUGGCGGCAGGCUUAACACAUGCAAGUCGAACGGUAGCAGGAGAAAGCUUGCUUUCUUGAUGACGAGUGGCGGACGGGUGAGUAAUGCUUGGGAAUCUGGCUUAUGGAGGGGGAUAACUACGGGAAACUGUAGCUAAUACCGCGUAAUAUCUUCGGAUUAAAGAAUGGGACUUUUAGCCAUUCGCCAUAAGAUGAGCCCAAGUGGGAUUAGGUAGUUGGUGGGGUAAAGGCCUACCAAGCCGACGAUCUCUAGCUGGUCUGAGAGGAUGACCAGCCACACUGGAACUGAGACACGGUCCAGACUCCUACGGGAGGCAGCAGUGGGGAAUAUUGCGCAAUGGGGGCAACCCUGACGCAGCCAUGCCGCGUGAAUGAAGAAGGCCUUCGGGUUGUAAAGUUCUUUCGGUGGUGAGGAAGGCUAAUAUGUUAAUAGCAUAUUAGAUUGACGUUAGCCACAGAAGAAGCACCGGCUAACUCCGUG
RNAcentral lists this ribosomal RNA (489 nucleotides) under uncultured bacterium. RNAcentral describes it as "partial 16S ribosomal RNA". It matches the Rfam family "Bacterial small subunit ribosomal RNA", at positions 30 to 507 of the family's 1533-position model. The record is from RNAcentral.